This 507-nucleotide ribosomal RNA is filed under the name uncultured bacterium. RNAcentral describes it as "partial 16S ribosomal RNA". It matches the Rfam family "Bacterial small subunit ribosomal RNA", at positions 29 to 507 of the family's 1533-position model. The record is from RNAcentral.
ACGAACGCUGGCGGCGUGCCUAAUCCAUGCAAGUCGAACGCUUCUUUCCUCCCGAGUGCUUGCACUCAAUUGGAAAGAGGAGUGGCGGACGGGUGAGUAACACGUGGGUAACCUACCCAUCAGAGGGGGAUAACACUUGGAAACAGGUGCUAAUACCGCAUAACAGUUUAUGCCGCAUGGCAUAAGAGUGAAAGGCGCUUUCGGGUGUCGCUGAUGGAUGGACCCGCGGUGCAUUAGCUAGUUGGUGAGGUAACGGCUCACCAAGGCCACGAUGCAUAGCCGACCUGAGAGGGUGAUCGGCCACACUGGGACUGAGACACGGCCCAGACUCCUACGGGAGGCAGCAGUAGGGAAUCUUCGGCAAUGGACGAAAGUCUGACCGAGCAACGCCGCGUGAGUGAAGAAGGUUUUCGGAUCGUAAAACUCUGUUGUUAGAGAAGAACAAGGACGUUAGUAACUGAACGUCCCCUGACGGUAUCUAACCAGAAAGCCACGGCUAACUACGUG